Long non-coding RNA from Ursus maritimus (polar bear), 1193 nucleotides. The record is from Ensembl. Lineage: Eukaryota; Metazoa; Chordata; Mammalia; Carnivora; Ursidae.
AAAGCUUCACAUGUGAGAUAAAUGCACUCAAAGACUCCUCACAAGUAGCUCUUUGGAGCUUCAGAUGUGAAAUGGAUCAUUCCUCAAUCUGUAAUAGACCCUUCCGUGAAGCUCUUCAAUCAAACCUGAGAAUUCAAGGCAUUUUGUAGCAUCCUAAACAGAAGGAUAUUGAAGGGAGCUGAUUCUGCUUUGAUCCUUGUGCUUGUUGUCAAAGCGCUUGGGAUUGAAGAGACUGUUGGCUACAAUUGACUGUGACAAUUAGGAGAUGAUCAGAGCCCUAGAGUGGAGCACUUAAAGGGAGAAGUUUGGCUUCAGAGGACAGGACUGGCUUCGUCUUCUCCAGGACUACAAGCUCCGUGCCUAGCUAAGUUCUUUGAAUGUAGUAGGUGCUCAGUAAAUAUUUGUUAAAUGGAUGAAGAAUGAAUGAAAAGAAUGGGAGUGAGGAUGGCUUGAGUAAUGGGUAGAAUCUUAUGUUUUAUCCAGUAAAUGAGGUAGAUUGUGGAAUAAAUUAUGUGGCUAUAUUUUCUAAUUAUGUUCCAUUUCCACCAUUAAUCAAGUUGCUUUCUUCUUUGCAUACCAGCUAAUUGAAGGUGUUUAGGUAGAUGAAAAGCCUUUUGUGUUGUGGGGUGGGAGGGGGGCAAGCCUGAGAUUUAAAAGGAGAAGAAAAUGGUCUUAGUUAAUCCAGAGGGUGGGUGAGAGCUCAACCAGAAUGCUCUUUGGAAUCCAGACAAUUCAGUGACAGUAACACUCUCAUACAAGUGUUAGGGAGGUCAGAGGAGAUGAGUCUGUGACAUGUGCAAUCACUCUUGAUGCAUUUGAUUUUUCAACAGUAUUUCAUGGUGACAUUUAGAUUUGAAUGGGAAAUGACCUCCUUGUUCCCAGUUCCUUUUCUAGCCAGAAUAGGAUUGCUCCUUCAACAAAUAUUGGUAUGUUUUGUCCAGUAGAGUUCUCCGGUAUCUUAACAGAUGGAGUUUACGAGUUUAUUUGCUAGCAGAAAUAGUGACUUCAAGGCAAGAAGGAGGUUGCAGGAACUAUUUAUUUUUACUUUUUUAAAAGGAAUACCUUCCUGGCACAUAAGCGAGUACCUAAGCAAGCAGACUCAACAGCUUUCUUGGAAGGAGUCAGCCGCUGCAGGUUGUGUGGAGAUUCAGUACCGUCGCUGUAGAAAUGCUGGUCCGAGAGGGGAUUGGUGA